UACGAAGGGGGCGAGCGUUGUUCGGAUUUACUGGGCGUAAAGGGCGCGCAGGCGGCUAUCCAAGUCAGGCGUGAAAGCCCCGGGCUUAACCUGGGAGGUGCGUCUGGGACUGGGUGGCUAGAGUUCGGGAGAGGAGAGUGGAAUUCCCAGUGUAGAGGUGAAAUUCGUAGAUAUCGGGAGGAACACCUGUGGCGAAGGCGGCCCCCUGGUUGGAUACUGACGCUGAUACGCGAAAGCGUGGGGAGCAAACAGG
RNAcentral lists this ribosomal RNA (253 nucleotides) under uncultured bacterium. Its description in RNAcentral is "partial 16S ribosomal RNA". It matches the Rfam family "Bacterial small subunit ribosomal RNA", at positions 524 to 776 of the family's 1533-position model. The record is from RNAcentral.